Molecule: long non-coding RNA, 889 nt
Filed under: Apteryx owenii (little spotted kiwi)
Lineage: Eukaryota; Metazoa; Chordata; Aves; Apterygiformes; Apterygidae
Description: lncRNA (ENSAOWG00000008048.1)
Source: RNAcentral
CUCCCUCCGCGCCCCGAAAGCGCCGACCUCCCCCAUCCCCCCCCCGUCCCGGCCCCCCUCGCCCCGACUGACCUGCGCCGCCGCCGGGGCCAGGCUGCGGCACCGAGGGGCAGGCGCUGCUGGGGGCCCUGUGCGGCGAGAGCCCGCGCGGACGGGGCCUCCUCUGCCCGCCCGGGGUCCGCUCUGUGGCGGCCCGGCCGACUCCCUCGGUCCCUGCCCCCGGAAGCCGUCCCGCCAGCCGGUCCUGACAGCCCCCGUGGGCCACAGAGACAGCCUCCGCGUCCUAGAACAGCUGCAGCACGGACGAUAGAUACCGCAGUGGAGCGCCUAGAGAGGCUUUGCCUACGCAGGAAGUGACCGUGGCGAGCGAGAUAGCGUGCUAGAAGAGCUCCCGCGACAGCAUUCGUGCCCGGGGAAGGGACGGCACGGCGGCACUUGACUGAUGGUCCACAGAGCAAAUCACGCGGCUCAGAGGGGAGGCUGGGUAGCCAAUGGGGAGAGGGCGGGGGCGGUGCUGGGGCCGAGCGUGGGGUAGCGGCUGUGUAGGGUGAGCGGGGGGGUCGUUGUGUCCCUCUCGGCCGGGCCGGGCCGGGCCGGCCCCCAGGUACCGGCCCGCAGGCCCUGCGAGCGUCCCAGCCCCUCGGGAUCAUCUGGCACCCAGGCUGGAGAGAAGUAUCUCUCUCUUCCAGGACUCAGCAUGUAUGAAGACUGCAAAUCCAUUUCUGCUCAGGAGAUGAUGGAAAAAUGUCCUCUCUCACUACAGAAGAGCACUCUCAAAUUUCCCUGCUACUACUUGAAACGUGGUGAUGCUUUUAAAGCAGACAUUUUCUGUGGCCUUAGCUGCUCACAGGUCUGUCCUAAAACCGAAGUAGCCACUGUGCAUACAUAA